ACUCAAAGGAAUAGACGGGGACCCGCACAAGCAGCGGAGCGUGUGGUUUAAUUCGAUGCAACGCGAAGAACCUUACCAGGAUUUGACAUCUCCGUGCACCAUCCGUUAUGGGAUGUGCCCGCAAGGGACACGGAGACAGGUGCUGCAUGGCUGUCGUCAGCUCGUGUCGUGAGAUGUUGGGUUAAGUCCCGCAACGAGCGCAACCCCCAUCACUAGUUGCAAGUUUCUAGUGAGACUGCCACUCUCAAAGUGGAGGAAGGCGGGGAUGACGUCAAGUCAGCACGGCCCUUACAUGCUGGGCGACACACACGCUACAAUGGUCGGGACAAAGGGCAGCCAACCCGCGAGGGGGAGCUAAUCCCAUCAAAGCCGAUCUCAGUUCAGAUUGCAGGCUGCAACCCGCCUGCAUGAAGUCGGAGUUGCUAGUAACCGUAGGUCAGCACACUACGGUGAAUACGUUCCCGGGUCUUGCACACACCGCCCGU
Molecule: ribosomal RNA, 485 nt
Filed under: uncultured bacterium
Lineage: Bacteria
Description: partial 16S ribosomal RNA
Rfam family: Bacterial small subunit ribosomal RNA
Source: RNAcentral